Molecule: long non-coding RNA, 392 nt
Organism: Spodoptera frugiperda (fall armyworm)
Lineage: Eukaryota; Metazoa; Arthropoda; Insecta; Lepidoptera; Noctuidae
Exons: 3
Source: RefSeq, a predicted model, not a curated record
GUUGUGCAAUAAUCACAACAAAAUGUCGGCUACAAUCAAGUUUCUAUCCGUUUUCUAUCUGUGUGUGGUGCUGGGCGCAGUAUUUGCGAAUCACAAUGCAGUCGAUUCUAACACAAUGACUUAUCGAGUUGCUGAUGUUGCAAAUAUCGAUAAGAUAGUUAUACAUUUGUUGAGUUCUGAUAACAAGAUGAUGGGGCAAGCUGGUACUGGUCACCACAAUAAGCGUGUCAAAAGGCAAUUGGAAAAAAACAUAGAAGAUGACGCGACAUACUUAGCACGCUUCCUCUAAUGUUCGGACACAAGAUGCCGAGAACAAUAACGACGGACAUAAUGGCAAUCGACGUAUGGACAAGCUUCUUCGAAUCAUUAAACAAUAUUUAAAGAAACCACAG